UAUAGCUACAAUAGUGCUACCACAAUACUUCGAAGACAAUGGAGAAGACAACAUUUCUUAAGAUUUUCUUGGUCUCGUUUUUGCUUAUUUUGCUAGGACAAUCAAGCAAUGCGGCGUUUAAAUGCACCAAAGAUAUUGAAUGCACAAUCAACUGCAUAGGACAUCCCAAAUGUGACUUGACUACGCACAAGUGCGUCUGUGUGCCAGCUCCAGUAGUUAAUAAUGGAGCAGAGAGAGUUCACAAGACAGAUCGGGACUAAUUUAUGUUUGUUAUUGUGCAAAUUGAACCAUGACUUUUUGUUCUAAAUUUUCAUAAGUAAUAAGGUUCUUAAGGUGCAUUAAUUU
Molecule: long non-coding RNA, 345 nt
Organism: Nicotiana tabacum (common tobacco)
Lineage: Eukaryota; Viridiplantae; Streptophyta; Magnoliopsida; Solanales; Solanaceae
Source: RefSeq, a predicted model, not a curated record